GCCCAGAGUAACCUCUUAAUAGACCAGGUCGACUCUCCUGCUCUUUGUCGUAAUGUACUAGAGGCACCUUGCUCGUCUUGAUGUCCUGCGGAAAAUUACACCGAUCCAUUGCAUUGAUGACAUUUUGAUAAUCAGAUCUGCUUCUGGUGCCACCGUUGCUUUUUGGUAAAUCUCAUUAUGUGGUCUGAGCAUCUAAAUGAAAGAUCCUUUUCUGCCAGCAUACUGAAUAAACACUACUCCUGCUUCUGGAA
Molecule: long non-coding RNA, 251 nt
Organism: Panthera uncia (snow leopard)
Lineage: Eukaryota; Metazoa; Chordata; Mammalia; Carnivora; Felidae
Exons: 2
Source: RefSeq, a predicted model, not a curated record